RNAcentral lists this unclassified non-coding RNA (1715 nucleotides) under uncultured fungus. Its description in RNAcentral is "sequence contains 18S rRNA gene, ITS1, 5.8S rRNA gene, ITS2, 28S rRNA gene". The stretch from base 466 to 1715 matches the Rfam family "Eukaryotic large subunit ribosomal RNA", at positions 1 to 1976 of the family's 3401-position model. The record is from RNAcentral. Lineage: Eukaryota; Fungi.
GGAAGGAUCAUUACAGAGUUCAUGCCCGAAAGGGUAGACCUCCCACCCUUGUGUAUUAUUACUUGUUGCUUUGGCGAGCUGCCUUCGGGCCUUGUAUGCUCGCCAGAGAAAACCAAAACUCUUUUUAUUAAUGUCGUCUGAGUACUAUAUAAUAGUUAAAACUUUCAACAACGGAUCUCUUGGUUCUGGCAUCGAUGAAGAACGCAGCGAAAUGCGAUAAGUAAUGGUGAAUUGCAGAAUUCAGUGAAUCAUCGAAUCUUUGAACGCACAUUGCGCCCCUUGGUAUUCCGGGGGGCAUGCCUGUUCGAGCGUCAUUUCAACCCUCAAGCUUAGCUUGGUAUUGAGUCUAUGUCAGUAAUGGCAGGCUCUAAAAUCAGUGGCGGCGCCGCUGGGUCCUGAACGUAGUAAUAUCUCUCGUUACAGGUUCUCGGUGUGCUUCUGCCAAAACCCAAAUUUUUCUAUGGUUGACCUCGGAUCAGGUAGGGAUACCCGCUGAACUUAAGCAUAUCAAUAAGCGGAGGAAAAGAAACCAACAGGGAUUACCUCAGUAACGGCGAGUGAAGCGGUAAAAGCUCAAAUUUGAAAUCUGGCUCUUUUAGAGUCCGAAUUGUAAUUUGUAGAAGAUGCUUCGGGUGUGGUUCCGGUCUAAGUUCCUUGGAACAGGACGUCAUAGAGGGUGAGAAUCCCGUAUGUGACUGGAUACCUAUGCUCAUGUGAAGCUCUUUCGACGAGUCGAGUUGUUUGGGAAUGCAGCUCAAAAUGGGAGGUAUAUUUCUUCUAAAGCUAAAUAUUGGCCAGAGACCGAUAGCGCACAAGUAGAGUGAUCGAAGAUGAAAAGCACUUUGAAAGAGAGUUAAACAGUACGUGAAAUUGUUGAAAGGGAAGCGCUUGCAAUCAGACUUGCACUUGGUGUUCAUCAGGGUCUCGUACCCUGUGUACUUCAUCAAGUUCAGGCCAGCAUCAGUUUGAGUGGUUAGAUAAAGGCUUAGAGAAUGUGGCCCUCUUCGGGGGGUGUUAUAGCUCUAGGUGCAAUGUAGCCUACUUGGACUGAGGACCGCGCUUCGGCUAGGAUGCUGGCCGUAAUGGUUGUAAGCGACCCGUCUUGAAACACGGACCAAGGAGUGUACCUAAUAUGCGAGUGUUUGGGUGUUAAACCCAUACGCGUAAUGAAAGUGAACGCUGGUGAGAACCCUUAAGGGUGCAUCAUCGACCGAUCUUGAUGUCUUCGGAUGGAUUUGAGUAAGAGCAUAUUGGGUGCGACCCGAAAGAUGGUGAUCUAUACGUGAAUAGGGUGAAGCCAGAGGAAACUCUGGUGGAGGCUCGCAGCGGUUCUGACGUGCAAAUCGAUCGUCAAAUUUGCGUAUAGGGGCGAAAGACUAAUCGAACCAUUAAGGAAUAGACCAAGCUCUAGGUGGUUGAGAAACCCCCUUGGGGUAUUAGUCCUGGAGACAGGGCGACAUUGUCAAAUUGUUCGGGGACCACCUGUUAAAUUACAUACUACCGCAGCAGUGCUGAAAGGCCUGUGAGCACUAGAGGUAACGCCUCUAGGGAUGGUAAUAACGUAUGUAUAGGGUAUAUCCGCAGCGAAGUUCUAAGGCCUCACGGCUACGAAUCGCGUUCACAGACUAGACGGCAAUGGGCUCCUAACGGGGCUUAAGAUAUAGUCGAACCCCUCAGAGAUGAGGAUGGAAUCAAAGCUAGUAGCUGGUUCCUGC